UCCCUGGUGGCUCAGAUGGUAAAGAAUCUGCCUGCAAUGCAGGAGACCCAGGUUCAAUCCCUGGAUUGGGAA
RNAcentral lists this transfer RNA (72 nucleotides) under Odocoileus virginianus texanus. It matches the Rfam family "tRNA". From Rfam's summary of the family: Transfer RNA (tRNA) molecules are approximately 80 nucleotides in length. Their secondary structure includes four short double-helical elements and three loops (D, anti-codon, and T loops). Further hydrogen bonds mediate the characteristic L-shaped molecular structure. tRNAs have two regions of fundamental functional importance: the anti-codon, which is responsible for specific mRNA codon recognition, and the 3' end, to which the tRNAs corresponding amino acid is attached (by aminoacyl-tRNA synthetases). tRNAs cope with the degeneracy of the genetic code in two manners: having more than one tRNA (with a specific anti-codon) for a particular amino acid; and 'wobble' base-pairing, i.e. permitting non-standard base-pairing at the 3rd anti-codon position. Lineage: Eukaryota; Metazoa; Chordata; Mammalia; Artiodactyla; Cervidae. The record is from Rfam by way of RNAcentral. RNAcentral also lists the same sequence under 2 other names.